CCUUCUCUGUGGCGGCAGCAUCCAUGGCUGGGGCAACCUCCGCGCCUCCUCCGCCCUGCGUGACCCUCUCCAAGAGUCCACAGCUCCCCGGCUGGUACCCAAGCCCCUCCACCCCGCGGGCGCCGGACCUCGAGGCGGCCCCGUGGUCCCCAACCUUCUUGCUGCUGCUGCGGGUGAGGGACACGCCUGAAAACUGCAGCACCGCGAGGUAGAGGUCACCCGAGACCCCGAGGCGCUUCCCGCACGCGUGCGCAGAGGCUCAGCCCAGACACUCCUUCAAACCCACAAUUUCUACAGAGUCCAAGAAGGAGCUGAUCUCUUUGCGAGAGGGCCCGAAUGAGCCGGGUUCCCGCGGCGGAGCGCAGCCCGCAGCUGUUGAGUGAGACCCUCCCAGAAGUGUCAGCAAGCUGUCAUCGCCUCCCUUCCCGCUGGGGGUGGAAGGGGGGCUUUCAGCCCAAUUCCUGCGCACAAAGAGAGACAGAGAACAAAAGCCCAGCCGCCCCCAAACACCCCUUGUGCCCGACUGCAGCUCUGGGCAGAGGUCCCCAGACGCGGCGGCCGGAGCCAGGGUUGGGAGGGGUCGGACAGGGGGCAGAGGGGCGGAAGGUCGGCCCACAUGCCCGCUUGCGGGGCUCCAGCGCCUGACCCCGAGUUACUAACCCAGCUCCCACAGAUGCAGAAGCGUCCAGGGCGAGUGAUGCCCGGGGUCACACAGCAAGUUAAAGACAAGACUCAGGCCGGAAUCCCGCUUCCGGCUCCCAGCCCUGGGCAAGGGGCCCGCGUCCAGGCAGAAAGGGCUGUGCCUAGUGUCAGCACCCGGACCUGGGGGUGGCGGCUCGGGUGGGACCGAGCCGCGCGGGAAGGACCCAAGCGACGGCCGCACACACGCUGCUGGUGUGGACGCGCGCCGAGCGGCUAGAGCCCCGCCCGGGCGCCGAGCGCAGCGCUCCCGGGGAUGAGCUCCUCGCCCGACACCUUGAGCCCCACCAGCUCCCGCACCUAACGGUUUAUUUCUCAGCUCCCGUUUCACCGCCAAAUUUCCGCGGAGGGCCCGGCGUGGAAACGCGUGUUCAAGAUUACGUGGAUAAAAGGACCCUUUCCUCCAGGGUUUCUUUUUUGGGAAGGGGCUUAGGAUAAGGCGAGGGUGGAACUCAUCCUUCCGAAAGCCUGGAUGCCCUUGAGGACUCAGCACUUUGGGCUCAAGGCCUGCCUUCAUUUCAUACCAUUUGCCGGUACUGUCCCGCAUCCCCGCCUCUACCGAGCGGGCAUUCUCGUUAACUGUUCCACGGCCCCUCCCCAACUUGGAAGUAUGAUACUGCGCAUUUUAAUUUUCACAAGGAGCUGGUUUUGUGUCGGAAGGAUGUGUUGAUGACAGCCAAGUCUUUCCCUGAAGUUUUCAGUUUAUCUGCCAACCCUUAUCACCCUUAUUCUGCUUAGCUCUCAGAGAAGAGGCUGGUGAAGGGCUUUCAAAGAGAAAGACAAAUCGCUCUCAGUUGGGUCCUCCAGCAUCCAAGCGUUUCUUUUUGUCUGUGUAUUACACACAAUUCCUCUCCAUCUCGGUCGUUGUACAUCAGACAUGAAGGCGUCAGAACAGUAUAUUUCAUCAUCACUUACAUGCUAUUAACUUUAAUGAUGCACUAACAUUUCUAAAUUUUCGCUUCCUGAGACCAUUGUAGAAAUUACACAUGUAAAAUAAAAUUCAACCUUUAUUUUAUGAAUAGCAUUGUGUGGCUGAGGUGAGUAAGAUACCCGCUAAGCUAUUAAAAUCCUAUUUGCUCUCACACUUUUCAGAGUAUUUUCAGGGGCACAUUCUCAAGUGAUUUUGCAUUUAUCUCUUACGUGGCCACAGAGUUGUGUUAAUUAAUUGAAGUCUGAUAGAAAGGGGACAUUACAUAGCUGAUUUGGUAGUAAAUUUUUAAAGCGUCGUUUUCUUAAAGCAAGAUAUAUGUUUUUACACACACUGAGAUUGCAAGACUCGUAGCUUUCGGAUUUUCCCACUGCCUGCUUGCAUUCACCACUUAAUAAACAGCUCACAGGCCCGGUAGCCUGCCAGCCGACUCUGCCGCCGAGAUGCACGCGGUUUCCUAGGCAACCGACACUUAGCCAAUGAAUGAAGAGGAAUCGAAAGAAAGAGACUGCAAAUCCAUCAUUAUUUCCUUUUUUACCCGUCCCAGUGCUCUCCAGCUAGAAAUAUUGGAAAGCUACCAACCCUAACAUUUAUGCAAAGGAGUCAAAUGCCCGGAGAACUGGGCCUAGGAAGGGGUCCAGCCCUGUCUUGUGACUGCGGGGAGGGGGUAGUGGAAAGGGUUCAGGGGACUCGCCGAGACGUGUGCUUUCUCAGCUUUGUCACUCCCCCUGUUGAUGUCCCACUGUCCCCCGUUUCCUCCCAGGCCUUCCCUCCCCCCGUGAGAAGCCAGCAGCUCCCGGCAGAGCUGCCCCGGGGGCUCUUUAAUCAAAGGGCUGCCUGGGUGGGAGCCUCAAGCCCUCGUCCUUCCGCAGUCGUGGGGCUCUGUGGGGACCCAGGUAACAAAAGACGAAGAUGAGCAGAGAAAAUUCCGAGGCCGUGAAUGCAGGGUGUGCGGCGACAUUCACUUUUGUUUCGCCAUGAGGCUGGCUGUUUUCCCACGGCCGGUGACGGAAUCUGGGUUAAAAUGGCCUCAGUCCAGACUGAGAGCGCUGAGCUUUCACCGAAGAGCUUUACCGUCUUUGUCCUGCAGAUCGACAGAGGGAGCCGGACCCGGCUUUCCCGGGCACAGCUUCCCUUUUAUAAGCGGCCCCCUGCCCCCUACGCCAUCAGGGGUUUGUAAGAUUCUUGGGCUGGGGGAGGGCAGGCCAGAGGAUGCGGGCUCUGUGAAUCCUGGGUGGACGGGCAUCUCGUGACACAGAGUCAGACUGGGCGGAAAAUAGAAGCAGAGUAGAAACCACCCUUGAAUGGGACCGUUAUAGCGUACUAAGAUUGACAGGUGCAGCCCGUGACAUCAACAAACGUAGAAAUAAAGUCCUUAUGAAAUGAACGCUACACACAGAAGGUAGGAGGGGAGCCAUUUUAAGUUUCAGCACAGAUCGCUGUAGUAGUGAUGUGACUGCGGGGCUGCCACCCCCCGACCCCCCAGUAGAAACCAGUCCCCCAGCCACUGGUGCUCAUGGAGAUCCAGGCAGCUCACCAUUUGCCCCAGACCUUUGCUUGCCACUUAAAUAGAAUUAAAACGUGUAUUCAGAUAGAUAGAUGCACACAAAUACAUAGAGUAACACCCUUGGCCUCUUGGAUUUAGAUGUCUGGUCACCAUUAACGAUGUCUUCACUGCAGAAACAGGUCACCUUCUGAGCAGGAACUCUUGGCUUGACGUGUUCAGCCUCCUUUUUAGUGGCCACCACAUAUUCAUGGUACAUUUUCAAGAAAAUAAUGCAUUAGGAGUACCUCUGGGAGGACUCUCUACCUCUUUCAAAAUAACCACUAGAGAGGAAACGUAUCAAAAGAUUUGGUUUCUCACAUAUCUCCGGAAGAACUGAAAGCAGAAUUUCGAAGAGAUAUUUGUACACCCCUGUCCACAGCAGCGUUAUUCACAAUAGCCCAUGGUGGAAGUAACCCUAAGUGUUCAGCAAUAGAUGAAUGUACAAAAAAACCAAAUGUGGUCUACACAUACAUGGAAUACUCUUCAGCCUUAAAAAGGAAGGAAAUUCUGACACCUGGUACGACAUGGAUGAACCCUGAAGAUAUUAUGCUCAGUGAAAUAAGCUAGUUAUGAAAAGACAAAUACUGUAUAAUUUCAUGUAUACAAGGUACCUAGAGUAGUCAGAUUCAUAGAGACAGAGGGUAAGAGGGUGGGUGCCAGUGGGGAGGCGAAUGGGGAGUAAGUGUUUAAUGGGGACAGAGUUUCAGUUUUGCAAGACGAAAAGUGUUCCGGAGAGGAUGGCGGUGAUGGUUACAGAACAAUGUGAAUGGACUUAAUGCCACUGAACUGUGUGUGUAAAAAUGGUCGAGAUUUUAUGUUUAUGUGCGUUUUACCACAAUUAAAAAAGAAUUAGUUCCUCACUGUCUAUGAAAUACCUAGUGGCACCUUUUUUGUCUUGAUGCUAAUAUGGUGCCCCAAGUUUCUCAGUGAUUGAUAGACAGAUACAUAGAUAGAUACAUAGAUGAUAGAUACAUAGACACUAGGUAGAUAUUUUAAAAACCAGUAUCAAUUUCAUCAUUCAUUCCUCCUCCUUUUGCCCCGAAAGUGGUGUCAGAGGCAUCUCAGUACUGUUGGCUCCGGGCUCUCCUUGUUCAUUCGUCUCCACGGACUCCCCGUGGUCCACAGUCUUAGCGCAGAGUUCAGGCUGCUCCAGCCCGGGUGAUCUGCCAUCCCAGGGUCACCUGCACCCUCUGCCUCUACAGUACAUCCCAGGAGACUUGGACCUGCCCGCCCAUCUCCUUUCAGGACGUGUUCUCCCCGCCUCUGAGUCUCUGCUCAUGCUGUGCCAUCGACCUGGAGUUACCCUCUCCUCUCUUCACCCGGUGACAUUUCGAUUGUUCUUCAUGCUGCAGCUCAACUAUCUGUGAUUCGUCCCCCUGUUGCCAGGAACAACGAACUGAUGAUGCUCUGCUCCGCCAGAGGCUUCUUCACGUGGUUAAUGCCAGUUUUGCAUUUGUUACAUUAAAGCAGUGAUCACUGGGCUUUUUCAUUGCACACCUCCACCCGUUAAAAAAAGAGUUGAGAAUGCAUAU
This is a non-coding RNA of Delphinapterus leucas (beluga whale), 4705 nucleotides long. The record is from RefSeq and is a predicted model, not a curated record. NCBI's taxonomy places the organism in Eukaryota, Metazoa, Chordata, Mammalia, Artiodactyla, Monodontidae.